UCUCAAUUUCCCUGUUCCGGCGGCCCUAUACUGUCCCCGACGGGCGUGGGGAAAGUCGGUGGCUGCCUUUGGGAGAUCAACUCUUCAGGGCACAUUCCGGCACUGUCGCGCAACGGUAAUCCGCCUCCUCCUCUUCAGAGGGCAGCGGAAAGUCCGAACACCUGCCCCGUCCACGUUUCCCAG
This 183-nucleotide non-coding RNA is filed under the name Deinococcus marmoris. The record is from RNAcentral. Lineage: Bacteria; Thermotogati; Deinococcota; Deinococci; Deinococcales; Deinococcaceae.